CUGCGGCAGGCCUAACACAUGCAAGUCAACGGUAACAGGAAGCAGCUGCUGCUUGCUGACGAGUGGCGGACGGGUGAGUAAUGUCUGGGAAACUGCCUGAUGGAGGGGGAUAACUACUGGAAACGGUAGCUAAUACCGCAUAACGUCGCAAGACCAAAGAGGGGGACCUUCGGGCCUCUUGCCAUCAGAUGUGCCCAGAUGGGAUUAGCUUGUUGGUGGGGUAACGGCUCACCAAGGCGACGAUCCCUAGCUGGUCUGAGAGGAUGACCAGCCACACUGGAACUGAGACACGGUCCAGACUCCUACGGGAGGCAGCAGUGGGGAAUAUUGCACAAUGGGCGCAAGCCUGAUGCAGCCAUGCCGCGUGUAUGAAGAAGGCCUUCGGGUUGUAAAGUACUUUCAGCGGGGAGGAAGGUGUUGUGGUUAAUAACCACAGCAAUUGACGUUACCCGCAGAAGAAGCACCGGCUAACUCCGUGCCAGCCGCCGC
RNAcentral lists this ribosomal RNA (489 nucleotides) under uncultured bacterium. RNAcentral describes it as "bacterial SSU rRNA". It matches the Rfam family "Bacterial small subunit ribosomal RNA", at positions 39 to 518 of the family's 1533-position model. The record is from RNAcentral.